This 1450-nucleotide ribosomal RNA is filed under the name Salmonella enterica subsp. enterica serovar Heidelberg. Its description in RNAcentral is "partial 23S ribosomal RNA". It matches the Rfam family "Bacterial large subunit ribosomal RNA", at positions 711 to 2141 of the family's 2925-position model. The record is from RNAcentral. Lineage: Bacteria; Pseudomonadati; Pseudomonadota; Gammaproteobacteria; Enterobacterales; Enterobacteriaceae.
AGACCCGAAACCCGGUGAUCUAGCCAUGGGCAGGUUGAAGGUUGGGUAACACUAACUGGAGGACCGAACCGACUAAUGUUGAAAAAUUAGCGGAUGACCUGUGGCUGGGGGUGAAAGGCCAAUCAAACCGGGAGAUAGCUGGUUCUCCCCGAAAGCUAUUUAGGUAGCGCCUCGUGAAUUCAUCUCCGGGGGUAGAGCACUGUUUCGGCUAGGGGGCCAUCCCGGCUUACCAACCCGAUGCAAACUGCGAAUACCGGAGAAUGUUAUCACGGGAGACACACGGCGGGUGCUAACGUCCGUCGUGAAGAGGGAAACAACCCAGACCGCCAGCUAAGGUCCCAAAGUCAUGGUUAAGUGGGAAACGAUGUGGGAAGGCCCAGACAGCCAGGAUGUUGGCUUAGAAGCAGCCAUCAUUUAAAGAAAGCGUAAUAGCUCACUGGUCGAGUCGGCCUGCGCGGAAGAUGUAACGGGGCUAAACCAUGCACCGAAGCUGCGGCAGCGACGCUGAUGCGUUGUUGGGUAGGGGAGCGUUCUGUAAGCCUGCGAAGGUGACCUGUGAGGGUUGCUGGAGGUAUCAGAAGUGCGAAUGCUGACAUAAGUAACGAUAAAGCGGGUGAAAAGCCCGCUCGCCGGAAGACCAAGGGUUCCUGUCCAACGUUAAUCGGGGCAGGGUGAGUCGACCCCUAAGGCGAGGCCGAAAGGCGUAGUCGAUGGGAAACGGGUUAAUAUUCCCGUACUUGGUGUUACUGCGAAGGGGGGACGGAGAAGGCUAUGUUGGCCGGGCGACGGUUGUCCCGGUUUAAGCGUGUAGGUGUGUGUUCCAGGUAAAUCCGGUUCACUUUAACACUGAGGCGUGAUGACGAGGCACUACGGUGCUGAAGCAACAAAUGCCCUGCUUCCAGGAAAAGCCUCUAAGCAUCAGGUAACAUCAAAUCGUACCCCAAACCGACACAGGUGGUCAGGUAGAGAAUACCAAGGCGCUUGAGAGAACUCGGGUGAAGGAACUAGGCAAAAUGGUGCCGUAACUUCGGGAGAAGGCACGCUGACACGUAGGUGAAGUGAUUUACUCACGGAGCUGAAGUCAGUCGAAGAUACCAGCUGGCUGCAACUGUUUAUUAAAAACACAGCACUGUGCAAACACGAAAGUGGACGUAUACGGUGUGACGCCUGCCCGGUGCCGGAAGGUUAAUUGAUGGGGUCAGCGCAAGCGAAGCUCCUGAUCGAAGCCCCGGUAAACGGCGGCCGUAACUAUAACGGUCCUAAGGUAGCGAAAUUCCUUGUCGGGUAAGUUCCGACCUGCACGAAUGGCGUAAUGAUGGCCAGGCUGUCUCCACCCGAGACUCAGUGAAAUUGAACUCGCUGUGAAGAUGCAGUGUACCCGCGGCAAGACGGAAAGACCCCGUGAACCUUUACUAUAGCUUGACACUGAACAUUGAGCCUUGAUGUGUAG